AUGGUUAGGCUUGUGCAUGUGUACAACCUAACAACACAAACAGAGGUGUUCUCCAAGUGGAAAGAGAGGUUCGUGAUCAGCGACGAUCUGGUGAUCAAGCCGGCGGCGACGAGCACCGUCCUGUCUUUUCUUCAGAGGUUCCUCGGAGAUAGGAUCAAUGACGCCUACGAAGUGGAGGUCGACGUCGGAUGGACCCAGGUUGUUUCCUUGCUCAGAGCAUGUGUCUCGUCCACCAACAUAUUCACCGAUGUGUUUCUCGCGAAAAGAACCGAUUCUUGUUUGAUGGACACAUCAGUGCUCACGAUUACCAAACCUCGGCGUCAAGAGGCCAACGGAGACCCCGGUCCGCAGAUGAGCAUCAAGCUUUUCUUCGACAGGGAGGACAGAAAGGUCAUGUACGCUGAGUGCAAGCAUGACUUCGUGGACCUGCUCCUCAGCUUCCUGACCUACCCCAUGGGAUGCAUCCUCAAGAACCUGGCCGGCACCUUUCACCGGUUCCACGGCUUCAACAAUCUUUACAGCAGUGCCGAUGGUCUCAACACGUCUGGCUUCCUGACGGGACCCUGCUUCGGUGACAAGAGCACGCUGCUCGAUCCUAGUAUUGCUCCGUUGAAGACCCACGGCGUCGAUGGGUCGGAUCAGGCAAUUGUGGAGUGGUAUCAUCUCUGCCGGACCGGGAAGCGGCAGUACUCCCGCGCAAUGGAUAAAAGGUCUUGCCAGUUGUUCGAUUCGGUGUUUGUCGAUGAUCACACCUAUGUAGUCGACGACGAGUUGCGUAUACAUCAAGCUUCGGCCGUGUCGGUGCUGAAGCACUGGUGCAAGAGAAACCGGGAUAAUGUAGUGGAGAUGGACAUUGCUGUCAGCAAACGAGAGGCUGUCGCGCUACUGCGAGCGGCGAUCAAUUCAGAGACUGCGCUGACAGAUGCGUUCAAGGGGAGGUUUCAGCAGGAAGCACAACUGUUGCCACCUUCAAAAAGAAGAACAGGCUCACCAUCGGUGGAGAAGAUGCAGAUCUUUGUCAAGAUCUUCACAGGCGAGACCAUCACCCUUGACGUGGCAAGCUCCGACACGGUUGCUGCCGUGAGGAGUAAGAUCCAGAUGAAGGGGAAGCUAAUGGCUGAUUGUAGGUUCGUGUACGGUGGCAAAUGCCUGCAGGAUCCAUGGACCCUGGCUGAUUGUGGCAUUCGCAGAGAAGCCACCAUCCACCUUGAGUUUUACCCCCGCGGCCUUAUCAAAACAGACACAGAAUGA
This 1251-nucleotide ribosomal RNA is filed under the name Triticum aestivum (bread wheat). RNAcentral describes it as "partial small subunit ribosomal RNA". The record is from RNAcentral. Lineage: Eukaryota; Viridiplantae; Streptophyta; Magnoliopsida; Poales; Poaceae.